GACGAACGCUGGCGGCGUGCUUAACACAUGCAAGUCGAACGGAAAGGCCUUUUCGGAGGUACUCGAGUGGCGAACGGGUGAGUAACACGUGGGUGAUCUGCCCUGCACUCUGGGAUAAGCCUGGGAAACUGGGUCUAAUACCGGAUAGGACCGCACUUUAGCGUGUGUGGUGGAAAGUUUUUUCGGUGUAGGAUGAGCCCGCGGCCUAUCAGCUUGUUGGUGGGGUAAUGGCCUACCAAGGCGGCGACGGGUAGCCGGACUGAGAGGUUGGUCGGCCACAUUGGGACUGAGAUACGGCCCAGACUCCUACGGGAGGCAGCAGGGGGGAAUAUUGCACAAUGGGCGCAAGCCUGAUGCAGCGACGCCGCGUGGGGGAUGACGGCCUUCGGGUUGUAAACUCCUUUCGCCAGGGACGAAGCGUUUUGUGACGGUACCUGGAGAAGAAGCACCGGCUAACUACGUG
This 463-nucleotide ribosomal RNA is filed under the name uncultured bacterium. Its description in RNAcentral is "partial 16S ribosomal RNA". It matches the Rfam family "Bacterial small subunit ribosomal RNA", at positions 28 to 507 of the family's 1533-position model. The record is from RNAcentral.